This 200-nucleotide ribosomal RNA is filed under the name uncultured bacterium. RNAcentral describes it as "partial 16S ribosomal RNA". It matches the Rfam family "Bacterial small subunit ribosomal RNA", at positions 28 to 238 of the family's 1533-position model. The record is from RNAcentral.
GAUGAACGCUGGCGGCGUGCCUAACACAUGCAAGUCGAACGGUCAACCUCGGUUGAUAGUGGCGCACGGGUGAGUAACACGUGGUUGAUCUACCCUCAAGUAGGGGAUAACGUUCUGAAAGGAAUGCUAAUACCCUAUAAGCUCCCGGAGUUUAGAAGACUGGGAGAAAAGUCCCGGCGCUUGAGGAGGAGACUGCGGGC